AUAAUCAGAGAGGAAUACAACAUCUUUGUUGUAGUACAUACAGUCCUUUAGUCAUUUCACACAUGGACGCGAUACUUAUAGAACAUGGACGCGAUACUUAUAGAUAUGGGGGACGUAUUUUCAUGUAACACUGGUUACGCUGACAGCUCCACUUCCUUUGUGAAAUGAAGGCGCAUCAGACUUAUCCACACACCGAUCUUUCUUAAUGACAACAGACAUGUUGUAGUCAGUUUAAAUGUGGGUAAAGGGAGUAAGAAUUGUCCGUAAUCACUAACGUCAACAUCAGAUCUCAAACACGAUACGUGUCCGUCUGUGAAAAACGUCCCCCUUUCGCCUGUCAGCUAUAACCCUGUUAGAUAAAAUCACAUCAGAGCGGCGGAAAUAAGGAAGCAUAGAGGACACAAGACUGAGAAGGCACCAUGACAUGGUUAAGCGUCGAUGGUCGGUUGUGGGAUCGCGUAGAGAAGACGUGACGCUACCUGCCCGUCGUUCUGAACACCGUUCUCGUGUUCUCCAUCACGGCGGAGGUACUGCUACACAUGUGAGACCCACACUCCCCCACAGUGCUCCCACUGCUAUGACAGUAAGGUGUGUGUUUUGAGACGAGACCACUACUGUGCCAGUGUGUGGGCUUCCGUAACUACCGCAACAUCCUCAGCUGUCUGCUGUUCAUGUGGACGGGGCUGCUGUAGUGGUGAACACAGGUCUUCAUCAUCAUCCUGGAGAAAGGAGUCACGCUGCACAGGAUCCUGCUACAACUCAUGCCCUGGAGCAUGCUCGUCUCUGGUUAGACUGGAAGGGAGAGAGGGGGAGGGUGUGUGUGUUCAGAGAGAGAGAGAGCAAGGGAGAGCCGAGCGAGUGAGAGGUGUGUAUGUGAGAGAGAGAGAAAGGGUAUGUGUAUCUGUAUGUGCAACCUGGUCUCAUAGUAUUUCGUAUUAUUCAGUACGUAAAUCCGUCACAUUCCAUUUAGUAUGAUAUGUUACGUUUCAUAUGGUAUGUAUUAAUUUGUGGAUGUACAACCCCAAUUUCAUAUGACAUGUUACGAAUUACAAUUUGUAUUAUAGUUUACGAAUGUACAAAGCAUUUAAUAUGUUACAAAUUUUCAAAUGUACUAUUUGUUACGAAUUUGCUGAAAGUAUGAAAUGUUACAAAUUUUAGCAAGGUGGCUAACAUUAGCUAGCUGGCUAACGUUAACUAGGUUAAGGUUAAGUUUAGGAGUUAGGUUAAAGGGUUAAGGUUAGGGUUACCAAACACGCUAAGUAGUUGCAAAGUAUCUAAAAAGUAGUAAGUAGUUGGAAAGUUGCUAAUUAGCUAAAAUGCUAAAGUUGUCCCUGAUGGGAUUCAUUAUACGCCCACCCAUACACCCUGACCAACCAGCUUCAUUUUGUGUUUGUCUUAAAGGAAAAUGCCACCCAAAAACUAUCUUUUCUUAUUUAUUUCAUUUGUCCAUUGUUGACAUAGAAGACAAAGCAUGAUGCAAUUGUGAGACUAAGUUAGCCUUUGUGUAUAUAUGCCUAGAAGUAUGCUUGGUAAUGCUUGUUAAUACUUGUAACUGAAGUUUUAUGCCUUGUGGGUAAAUCCAUGCAAUUUCUUAAGCAAAAAUGUUGCUAAGAAUGUCUGGGAGUGGUCAGAGUGGCAAGGGGAACAUGAAAAAUGAGCUGUUAUUAGCAGAGAUGUUUGGAACUCUUUGUUAUUGGUCUAUUAACUAAUUUAGGCCAAAACCACCACCUAAACCAAGUGAAUCCAGGUGAAAGCCAUGAUCCCUUAUUGAUGUCACUUGUUAAAUCCACUUCAAUCAGUUUAGGUGAAGGGGAGGAGACAGGUUAACGAAGGGUUUUUAAGCCUUUAGACAACUAAGACAUGGAUUGUGAAUGUGUGCCAUCGAAUGGGCAAGGCAAAAGAUUGAAGUGCCUUUGAACAGGGUAUGAUAGUAGGUGCCAGGCGCACUGGUUUGGGUCAAGAACUGCAACGCUGCUGUUUUGUUUUUUACAACUUGUAGAGGUGAGGGGAUGCAACUCAACAUUAGGAAGGUGUUCCAAAUGUUUGUUAUACUCAGUGUAUGUGAUGUGUUUGAGUUUCACUAUCCCUGAAUAAAUGUCAAACUAUU
This is a long non-coding RNA of Salvelinus fontinalis (brook trout), 2107 nucleotides long. RefSeq lists it as uncharacterized. The transcript is spliced from 2 exons. The record is from RefSeq and is a predicted model, not a curated record. NCBI's taxonomy places the organism in Eukaryota, Metazoa, Chordata, Actinopteri, Salmoniformes, Salmonidae.